Molecule: ribosomal RNA, 254 nt
Filed under: uncultured bacterium
Lineage: Bacteria
Description: partial 16S ribosomal RNA
Rfam family: Bacterial small subunit ribosomal RNA
Source: RNAcentral
UACGGGGGGUGCAAGCGUUGUUCGGAAUUACUGGGCGUAAAGGGCUCGUAGGCGGCCAAUUAAGUCAGACGUGAAAUCCCUCGGCUUAACCGGGGAACUGCGUCUGAUACUGGAUGGCUUGAGUUUGGGAGAGGGAUGCGGAAUUCCAGGUGUAGCGGUGAAAUGCGUAGAUAUCUGGAGGAACACCGGUGGCGAAGGCGGCAUCCUGGGCCAACACUGACGCUGAGUGAGCGAAAGCCAGGGGAGCAAACGGG